ACCGGGAUUGCCUCAGUAACGGCGAGUGAAGCGGCAAGAGCUCAAAUUUGAAAUCUGGCCCCCUCGGGGGUCCGAGUUGUAAUUUGGAGAGGAUGCUUCGGGUUCGGUCCCGGUCCAAGUGCCCUGGGACGGGCCGUCGGAGAGGGUGAGAAUCCCGUCUGCGACCGGUGACUGGGCCUGGGUGAAGCUCCCUCGACGAGUCGAGUUGUUUGGGAAUGCAGCUCUAAAUGGGUGGUAAAUUUCAUCUAAAGCUAAAUAUGGGCCGGAGACCGAUAGCGCACAAGUAGAGUGAUCGAAAGAUGAAAAGCACUUUGGAAAGAGAGUCAAACAGCACGUGAAAUUGUUGAAAGGGAAGCGCUUGCGAUCAGACUCGCCCGGGGAGGUUCAGCUGGCACUUGUGCCGGUGCAUUGCUACCCGGGCGGGCCAGCGUCGGUUUGGAUGGCCUGUCAAAGGCCCCCGGAAGGUAGCGCCCUUUGGGGCGUCUUAUAGCCGGGGGUGUCAUGCGGCCUGUCCGGACCGAGGAACGCGCCUUUGGGCUCGGACGCUGGCGUAAUGGUCGUAAGCGGCCCGUCUUGAAACACGGACCAAGGAGUCUAACAUCCACGCGAGUGUUCGGGUGUUCAAAACCCGUCCGCGCAGUGAAAGCGAACGGAGGUGGGAACCCCCUGGGGUGCACCAUCGACCGAUCCUGAUGUCUUCGGAUGGAUUUGAGUAGGAGCGUGGCUGUUGGGACCCGAAAGAUGGUGAACUAUGCCUGAAUAGGGCGAAGCCAGAGGAAACUCUGGUGGAGGCUCGCAGCGGUUCUGACGUGCAAAUCGAUCGUCAAAUUUGGGUAUAGGGGCGAAAGACUAAUCGAACCAUCUGGUAGCUGGUUCCUGCCGAAGUUUCCCUCAGGAUAGCAGUAACGAGAUCAGUUUUAUGAGGUAA
Molecule: ribosomal RNA, 928 nt
Filed under: Elaphomyces asperulus
Lineage: Eukaryota; Fungi; Ascomycota; Eurotiomycetes; Eurotiales; Elaphomycetaceae
Description: LSU rRNA
Rfam family: Eukaryotic large subunit ribosomal RNA
Source: RNAcentral